RNAcentral lists this ribosomal RNA (253 nucleotides) under uncultured bacterium. Its description in RNAcentral is "partial 16S ribosomal RNA". It matches the Rfam family "Bacterial small subunit ribosomal RNA", at positions 524 to 776 of the family's 1533-position model. The record is from RNAcentral.
UACGAAGGGGGCUAGCGUUGCUCGGAAUUACUGGGCGUAAAGGGCGCGUAGGCGGCACUGUUAGUCAGGCGUGAAAUUCCUGGGCUCAACCUGGGGACUGCGCUUGAUACGGCAGAGCUAGAGGACGGAAGAGGCUCGCGGAAUUCCCAGUGUAGAGGUGAAAUUCGUAGAUAUUGGGAAGAACACCGGUGGCGAAGGCGGCGAGCUGGUCCGUUACUGACGCUGAGGCGCGACAGCGUGGGGAGCAAACAGG